Molecule: transfer RNA, 72 nt
Filed under: Sodiomyces alkalinus F11
Lineage: Eukaryota; Fungi; Ascomycota; Sordariomycetes; Glomerellales; Plectosphaerellaceae
Rfam family: tRNA
About the family: Transfer RNA (tRNA) molecules are approximately 80 nucleotides in length. Their secondary structure includes four short double-helical elements and three loops (D, anti-codon, and T loops).
Source: Rfam by way of RNAcentral
GGGGGGAUAGCGUAGGUGGUAGACACGCCUGGUGGCCGCGUAAGGCCGUGGGUUCGAAUCCCACUCCCCUUA